This 883-nucleotide long non-coding RNA is filed under the name Homo sapiens (human). Its description in RNAcentral is "HSALNT0074786". The record is from RNAcentral. Lineage: Eukaryota; Metazoa; Chordata; Mammalia; Primates; Hominidae.
CGCCAGAGCUGAACGCAGUGGCCCCUCCCCAGCGCCCCGGGUUUCCCCAGGUCGGGGUUCGCGGGCGGGGGUGAGGCGUGGCCCCGACUGCCGGGCCGCGAUAAGCGCCCUGCGACCCGGCUGAAAGCGCACACGUGUCCUGCCGCGCUGAGCCGCCAGCAGGACUGGUACCACCGCCCUCCCUCGGGGCUAGGGUCACCCUGCCGUGACACGCAGGGACAAGCCAAACACUCCCGCCUCCGGGAUCGAACGGAAUGAACCAGAGUGAUUAACUACGAGAAUCACCAGGCGCUCAUUGGGCUGAUCAGUACCUCGUCUGACCUAGCUGGGUUUGGUCGCCGUCACUGGCCGGAGCGCCGAAGCACCGGGGACGCUGACGCACAGGGAAUAAGACAUGGACACCUUUGAGAGGCCAUUUUUCUGCUCACCACAAGGCCCCAAGGAAAUGGAAGAGGAUGCUAAUGGAGGGACCCACUGGCACCCACUGAGUUGGUAUGAAGAGUAUUUUAAACUGAAACAUUUAAGACACAGCAGAUACAGAAAGAAGCCUUUCUGGAGCUUCCCUUAUUUGACUAAAGCCAGAGCUUUCAGAGAGUGAAGCUGCCAUAAAUUCCCUCUUGGGGAGCUUCACUGCCAGUAAGGAGACUUUACUGCCAGGAAGGAGACCACUUGCACCUGAAUGACGAAUUGCAUAACCGAACAUAAUCACAAAUUGUCGUACCAUCAUUUGUUUCCCUAAAAGCCCAUUUGUCUUUCCACAAAAGUAUAUUUGCUUUCCCAUAGAACCCUUUCUCUCCUCCUCCCUUUUCCCAUAUUAUUGGCAUAUAAAUUCUCAUCCCUAACUGUACAGAGAGCCUCUUCACCUGAGUAAGUGUAAAUAAAC